CGUCAAGUCCGCAUGGCCCUUACGUCUGGGGCGACACACACGCUACAAUGCCGUCGACAAUGCGUCGCAAGCCGGCAACGGCAAGCUAAUCGCGAACAGGCGGCCCAGUGCAGAUCGGGGGCUGAAACUCGCCCCCGUGAAGGCGGAGUUGCUAGUAACCGCGCAUCAGCAUUGGUGCGGUGAAUACGUGCCCGGGUCUU
RNAcentral lists this ribosomal RNA (200 nucleotides) under uncultured organism. RNAcentral's name for it is "partial small subunit ribosomal RNA". It matches the Rfam family "Bacterial small subunit ribosomal RNA", at positions 1183 to 1382 of the family's 1533-position model. The record is from RNAcentral.